RNAcentral lists this unclassified non-coding RNA (268 nucleotides) under uncultured Barnettozyma. Its description in RNAcentral is "sequence contains ITS2". The stretch from base 1 to 52 matches the Rfam family "5.8S ribosomal RNA", at positions 103 to 154 of the family's 154-position model. The record is from RNAcentral. Lineage: Eukaryota; Fungi; Ascomycota; Saccharomycetes; Phaffomycetales; Phaffomycetaceae.
AACGCACAUUGCGCCCUGUGGUAUUCCACAGGGCAUGCCUGUUUGAGCGUCAUUUCUCCUUCAAACUUCUAGUUUGGAUUUGGGCUUGGGGAAGCUUUAUACCCAGCCUGAAAUAGUGGGUGAAACAUAUGUCUAUUAGGUUUUACACAAUGAGUUAGGUUCUGCCAGUUCGUUGAAUGAAAUCUAUGUGAAGAUGCUUCAAUAACAACCCAUUUUAUACCCCCCCAAAUUUGACCUCAAAUCAGGUAGGACUACCCGCUGAACUUAA